Molecule: ribosomal RNA, 376 nt
Filed under: Vibrio alginolyticus
Lineage: Bacteria; Pseudomonadati; Pseudomonadota; Gammaproteobacteria; Vibrionales; Vibrionaceae
Description: partial 23S ribosomal RNA
Rfam family: Bacterial large subunit ribosomal RNA
Source: RNAcentral
CGGGAGACACACGGCGGGUGCUAACGUCCGUCGUGGAGAGGGAAACAACCCAGACCGCCAGCUAAGGUCCCAAAUUAUAGCUAAGUGGGAAACGAUGUGGGAAGGCUUAGACAGCUAGGAUGUUGGCUUAGAAGCAGCCAUCAUUUAAAGAAAGCGUAAUAGCUCACUAGUCGAGUCGGCCUGCGCGGAAGAUGUAACGGGGCUAAGCUAUAAACCGAAGCUGCGGCAAUGAAGUUUACUUCAUUGGGUAGGGGAGCGUUCUGUAAGCCGUUGAAGGUGUGUUGUAAAGCAUGCUGGAGGUAUCAGAAGUGCGAAUGCUGACAUGAGUAACGAUAAAGGGGGUGAAAAACCUCCUCGCCGGAAGACCAAGGGUUCC